Molecule: ribosomal RNA, 504 nt
Filed under: uncultured bacterium
Lineage: Bacteria
Description: partial 16S ribosomal RNA
Rfam family: Bacterial small subunit ribosomal RNA
Source: RNAcentral
AUUGAACGCUGGCGGCAGGCCUAACACAUGCAAGUCGAACGGUAGCACAGAGAGCUCGCUCUCGGGUGACGAGUGGCGGACGGGUGAGUAACGUCUGGGAAACUGCCCGAUGGAGGGGGAUAACUACUGGAAACGGUAGCUAAUACCGCAUAACGUCGCAAGACCAAAGUGGGGGACCUUCGGGCCUCACACCAUCGGAUGUGCCCAGAUGGGAUUAGCUAGUAGGUGGGGUAAUGGCUCACCUAGGCGACGAUCCCUAGCUGGUCUGAGAGGAUGACCAGCCACACUGGAACUGAGACACGGUCCAGAAUCCUACGGGAGGCAGCAGUGGGGAAUAUUGCACAAUGGGCGCAAGCCUGAUGCAGCCAUGCCGCGUGUAUGAAGAAGGCCUUCGGGUUGUAAAGUACUUUCAGCGGGGAGGAAGGCGGUGAAGUUAAUAACUUCACCGAUUGACGUUACCCGCAGAAGAAGCACCGGCUAACUCCGUGCCAGCCGCCGCAGUAA